Molecule: ribosomal RNA, 301 nt
Filed under: uncultured bacterium
Lineage: Bacteria
Description: partial 16S ribosomal RNA
Rfam family: Bacterial small subunit ribosomal RNA
Source: RNAcentral
CAGUCGCCGCGGUAAUACGUAGGUGGCAAGCGUUGUCCGGAAUUAUUGGGCGUAAAGGGCUCGCAGGCGGUUUCUUAAGUCUGAUGUGAAAGCCCCCGGCUCAACCGGGGAGGGUCAUUGGAAACUGGGAAACUUGAGUGCAGAAGAGGAGAGUGGAAUUCCACGUGUAGCGGUGAAAUGCGUAGAGAUGUGGAGGAACACCAGUGGUGAAGGCGACUCUCUGGUCUGUAACUGACGCUGAGGAGCGAAAGCGUGGGGAGCGAACAGGAUUAGAUACCCCAGUAGUCCCUGUCUCUUAUAC